This 80-nucleotide ribosomal RNA is filed under the name Vibrio splendidus. Its description in RNAcentral is "partial 16S ribosomal RNA". It matches the Rfam family "Bacterial small subunit ribosomal RNA", at positions 1 to 77 of the family's 1533-position model. Lineage: Bacteria; Pseudomonadati; Pseudomonadota; Gammaproteobacteria; Vibrionales; Vibrionaceae. The record is from RNAcentral. RNAcentral also lists the same sequence under 6 other names.
CUUAAAUUGAAGAGUUUGAUCAUGGCUCAGAUUGAACGCUGGCGGCAGGCCUAACACAUGCAAGUCGAGCGGAAACGACA